Molecule: ribosomal RNA, 119 nt
Organism: Callithrix jacchus (white-tufted-ear marmoset)
Lineage: Eukaryota; Metazoa; Chordata; Mammalia; Primates; Cebidae
Source: Ensembl
GUCUAUGGCCAUGCCACCCUGAACAUGCCUGAUCUCCUCAGCUCUUGGAAGCUAAGCAGGGUUAGGCCUGGUUAGGACUUAGAUGGGAGACCACAUGGAAAUACUAGGUGCUGUUGGCU